GCAAGGAAUGGGGAUCUUCAUUUCUAUUGGUCGAAGGCCAUGUCCAAUGGACUUCAAGAAGGCUACCCGAGGCCUUAUUAGAAAUUAGGGUUUGUCUUUCAAAGUCAUUUGAGCUUUGGAGGCUAGGAUCAACAAGUUUAGGAUUUUGGGUAUAAUUUGGGCGAAGAGUUUGUGUGAUUUUGAGUUUUUGUGAAGGAGAUUUAGGUGUUCAAAGUUAAGGUGUUAAUUUAAGACAUAUUGUUACUCUUUUGAAAAUACGAGGAGUUGUACCAUAGCUUUUGAAGA
This 285-nucleotide long non-coding RNA is filed under the name Physcomitrium patens. Its description in RNAcentral is "long non-coding RNA (PPAT_LNC010724)". The record is from RNAcentral. Lineage: Eukaryota; Viridiplantae; Streptophyta; Bryopsida; Funariales; Funariaceae.